RNAcentral lists this ribosomal RNA (478 nucleotides) under uncultured bacterium. RNAcentral describes it as "partial 16S ribosomal RNA". It matches the Rfam family "Bacterial small subunit ribosomal RNA", at positions 28 to 523 of the family's 1533-position model. The record is from RNAcentral.
GACGAACGCUGGCGGCGUGCUUAACACAUGCAAGUCGAACGGUAAGGCCCUUCGGGGUACACGAGUGGCGAACGGGUGAGUAACACGUGGGUGAUCUGCCCUGCACUUCGGGAUAAGCCUGGGAAACUGGGUCUAAUACCGGAUAGGACCACUGCCUGCAUGGGUGGUGGUGGAAAGCUUUUGCGGUGUGGGAUGGGCCCGCGGCCUAUCAGCUUGUUGGGGGGGUGAUGGCCUACCAAGGCGACGACGGGUAGCCGGCCUGAGAGGGUGACCGGCCGCACUGGGACUGAGAUACGGCCCAGACUCCUACGGGAGGCAGCAGUGGGGAAUAUUGCACAAUGGGCGCAAGCCUGAUGCAGCGACGCCGCGUGAGGGAUGACGGCCUUCGGGUUGUGAACCUCUUUCAGCACCGACGAAGCGCAAGUGACGGUAGGUGCAGAAGAAGGACCGGCCAACUACGUGCCAGCAGCCGCAGUAA